Molecule: long non-coding RNA, 1863 nt
Organism: Chinchilla lanigera (long-tailed chinchilla)
Lineage: Eukaryota; Metazoa; Chordata; Mammalia; Rodentia; Chinchillidae
Exons: 3
Source: RefSeq, a predicted model, not a curated record
CAAACAAGAAACUGAGGCAUAAUGGUCAUAUACACAAAAGUGCAGAGCUAGGAUUAGAAUUCAGGUCACCUGGUUCUAGGACCACCAGCUCCACAGGUCUUGUUCUUACUUCGCCACUUACUUGAGAACACCAGGUGAACACCAUGACAUGGUUAGGAGGUUAUGAGGGUCUCUCCCUGAGGGCAAGGCCCAUCCCUAUCAUACACUUCCCCCGGGACCCCCAGCUGCAUCCCAGGCCUGAAGCAGUAAAUUCAGUAGAAAUGUGGUUUUAAAAACAGAAGACCUUUGUGCUUCAAGAGGUUUGUGAAUAAUACUAAACUGAACUUUAUGAAAGAAAUGAAAUGAAGAAAUGUGAACUCUCCGUGUUGGCAUCACCAGUGCAGGCAGUUGCCCUCCUCCGAGGGCAGCCCUUCACAAAGACAGACCUCUGUUCUGGUUCCAGGAGAGUGGCGGGCCAGGCGGUGAAAGGAGGAGCCAGCGGCCACAGUGCGGCUUUGUUCAGCAGGGUGCUGUCCUUGUACACCAGCCUGCGGGAUGCAAAUUUGUGCCUCGGCGACCUUACCUGGUACCACACAUCACACCCUUCUGAGUUCUUGCCAAUGCCUGUCGUUUUGAUUGUCAAAUCCGUGUAUGCCAAGCUGCUGCUGCUUGUUCUUCCUGAAGGCAGCUAGUACAGUCUGGAAGAAAGGCUCCUAUCCUACUUCAGGAAUCAAGAGGAAAGCUGGCCUCCAAGUGGGUGGGUGACUGAGGAGUCUCACAAGAGGGUAAGACUGGGGGACCUACCAUCAAAGCUUUUGGAGUCUGAAGCUCUAAAUGCCAAGAAAAAGCAAUCACUUGCUACUCUGAUUCUUUUAUUCCUUCAGUAGAAAUGAGACCAGACAUCUGACCAGCAUGUUGUCUCCUGUGGACAAAUUCUGUGAGAAACCAAAUCAUCCUCGUCAAAGGGUUGCUGUGAAAAGGCAGCUACCCUGAUGCAAAUACACAGUGGGAUAAGUUAGCUUUGCAAUCUUGAUGAAGCGUGGUAGAGAUACCCUGGAUACUGAUUUACAGAUUCCUUCAUUCAACAAAUAUUUAUUAAAUAUGGCUGAUGUGGUAGGCACUAGGAAUGCAGCAGUGAACAUUUACAUUCUAGUUGUACGAGUGUGUGUAGACAUUCUAAAUAUGCUAGUGAAAGAGGCAGUCAUUAGAAGGUGAUAAAUGCUGUGGGGGAGGGGAAGGAUAGGGGGAAGAAGGGAGGAAACAACAGGAGGGAAGAAUGGUCAUGAGUGUUAUUUUAAAUGAGGCAGGCAGGACCAGACUCCCAACCAGAAGAAAAGAUCUGAAGGAUUUGACAGCAAGUCAUGUGGAUAAUCAGAGGAAGAAUUCUUCAGAGCAUCAUCAGCAGUUAUACAGUAUCAGGCAGAACAAAGCAACUCAGGAGAAGAGACUCAGGCACUAACACAAAUGGAGGGAUGGGAUCCAAUCAAAGCUGUGGGCACGGACCUCUUGAAGGCCCGCUUCUGCUGACGAAAUCUUUCACUCUCAACCCCGGAUGGCAGAGGUAGAGCCUCACAGGUUGACCGGGACCAUCCCUUGGGUCUCCGGAAUUUGGUGGGUCAGCCAAGCCACUGAUCCAGUCAACCUCUGCUCUCAUAGUGAGUCAUUUGUGUCUGUGAAGCCUUGCCUCAGCCUUAUCAUAAAAUCAAUAUGCUUCAAUAAUUUUGAAUCUUCUCAGAGAAGAGAAUUAUUGGCUUUUAAAUAAAAAGUGCAUAUAAACAAGAGAUUAGGGAGCACAUCAAAAGUAUUUAAAUAAUAAGUCCCAGACAAGAAAAAGAUGUAAUCAAGUAUUAUCUUUCCUUGGACCAAAGAGUACCUACUACUGGA